Molecule: long non-coding RNA, 1241 nt
Filed under: Homo sapiens (human)
Lineage: Eukaryota; Metazoa; Chordata; Mammalia; Primates; Hominidae
Description: HSALNT0148689
Source: RNAcentral
UAAUGCCUUCAUAAUUUUCCCUGGGUACCACUCAGAGAUGCUUGGACACCUCAGGUUAGUGUCCCCAGAAGCAGCCUGAAAGUAGCUGGGCCACAAACUUUGUUACCAUGAGUUAAGCAGCUUUUGCCCCAGAGAGUAAAUCAGUGACCUGCUUCCUUUAUUGAGAAAGUCUUGCUGUGGAAAAAGUCAGCAGGACUAAAUAGCCCGCUGAGUGACAGUAACGUACAUUCCAGUGCGAGCUUCUUAUUCCCCUUCAUGGACAUCUAACCAAGCGUUUGCAGAGCAGCACAGGUCUGCAGGUGACAUUUUGAGCAGCACUUGUCUACAGAGCUUCAGUAGGCACAAUUGGCUUACUGUAGAAGGUUUACACCUGGGUGGAUUCAUGGUUGGAGUUUGGAAGAGAAUAAAGUCCCUGCCAUGAGCCUGGCGCCGUGCCAUGGCCUUCCCAUGUAACAGUGCUCAAAGGGUGCCCCUCCCACCACUGGGGCCUGCUGUUCUCGAGUCCUUGAGCAUUUGCCUCAUGUCCUUCCCACGUGCUCCAGCUCCUGUCCGGGCUGCAGAUCUCCCGUGCAUUGCCAUGUGUGAGCACGCACAGCCAGGGCUGCCCCUAGAAACAAGGAGAACCAGAGCCACUCAAUUAGAGGGGCCACCACAAUAACUGUACUGUUGGCAUCUUUCAUAGGCUCCUUAGGGUAUUGCUAAAAAGAGUAAUUUUACAAUUGAAUUUCAAUUAUUCUCAGAAAACAGGAAUAAGACCCCCACAUGAAAGAAGGAUUGUAAGGAUUUUUAAGCUGAAAGGUAAUAUGCUCAGGUCUGCAUUUUAGAAGGAGCAAACUAACUACUCUAUGGAGAAUAGAUCAGAGAGUUUGAGACCAGAGGUGAGGACUCCAGUGGGGACGUCAGGACUGGAGGUCCCAGGAAGGUCAGUGGUGGCAGUAGUAGGUGUGAAUUUUAGUCCCAAUUCUUCCACCUCCCUGCAUCCACACUCUGGCUAUAUGAGACUUUGGGCUUGGUCUUGUGACUUACUUUGAUCAAUGGAAUGGGGCAGAUGAGUCUUGAUACCAGGUCUGAGAGCUGAUGGUAAGAGACCUUACAUAUUUCUACUUUUCCUCUCAUGCAUCUGCCAUCACCAUGAGAAGAACCUGUCCAGCUUGGCCGUGGACCCUAGGAGGAUGAGGGACACGUACAGCAGAGAUGCCCACCAGCUUGCCAACCCCUGAGUGAGCCCAGCCAAGGUCAGU